Molecule: ribosomal RNA, 339 nt
Filed under: uncultured Nereida sp.
Lineage: Bacteria; Pseudomonadati; Pseudomonadota; Alphaproteobacteria; Rhodobacterales; Roseobacteraceae
Description: bacterial SSU rRNA
Rfam family: Bacterial small subunit ribosomal RNA
Source: RNAcentral
AUACUGACGCUGGAGGUAACGAAAGUGGUGGGGAGACAAACGAGGUAUUAGACUACCCGUGGUACGUCCACCAACCGUAAACGAUAGAAUCGCCAGUCGGUCGGGUAGUAUACUAUUCGGUGACACACCUAACGGAAGUAAGCUAUUCCCGCCGUGGGGAGGUACGGUCGACAAGUAAUUAAAACUACGAAAGGUAAUUGGACGGGGGCCCGCACAAGCGGUGGAGCAUGUGGUUUAAUUCGAAGCAACGCGCAGAACCUUACCAACCCUUGACAUCCUGUGCUACACGGAGAGAUCCGUGGUUCCCUUCGGGGACGCAGUGACAGGUGCUGCAUGGCU